UAAUUCCGGAUCUCAGAUCAAGCAAGAUGACCCGCGCGAAUUUAAGCAUAUAAUUAAGCGGAGGAAAAGAAACUAACUAG
This 80-nucleotide ribosomal RNA is filed under the name Pseudo-nitzschia delicatissima. Its description in RNAcentral is "partial 28S ribosomal RNA". It matches the Rfam family "Eukaryotic large subunit ribosomal RNA", at positions 1 to 72 of the family's 3401-position model. Lineage: Eukaryota; Bacillariophyta; Bacillariophyceae; Bacillariales; Bacillariaceae. The record is from RNAcentral.